RNAcentral lists this long non-coding RNA (1324 nucleotides) under Monodelphis domestica (gray short-tailed opossum). RNAcentral describes it as "lncRNA (ENSMODG00000041815.1)". Lineage: Eukaryota; Metazoa; Chordata; Mammalia; Didelphimorphia; Didelphidae. The record is from RNAcentral.
CUCCCUGAGAUUACUCUGGUGAGAGAACAAUGAAAACAUCCAUUAUUUAGGACUCCAUUUGUAAUUCUAUUGUGAGCACAAUAUCUGGAUUACAAGUGUCAGGACAUGUGAAAAUAUUGACUGAGGCACUAUGUGCUGGGAGCUGUAGCUUUGUAAAUUUAAAGUUAGGAAAUCCAAAUACAGUAUCACUUAUUGACAGGCAAUAAAGACCCCAAAGAAAGCAUCCACACAAAGAGUUAAAAGUUCAGAAUAGAAGGGAUAAUGGGACACUAAUUAAGAUUGUUCUUCACAGCUGGAAAUUAGCCACUGUUCAACUACCAAAGCCUCUCAGGACUGAAUGCUCUGUUCUAGAAGCAGUUAGGCAGCAAAAUGGAUAGAGCCCUAGACCUGGAGUGAGGAAAACCCAGAUUCGAAUCUAGCUUCAGAUACUUAGGAGCUAUGUGACCCUGUGUAAGUCACUUUAACCACAAAAUGGAGAUAAUAACAUCUUCCUUCCAGGAUUAUUGUGAAUAUUAUCUGAGAUAAUAUUUAUAAAGCACCUGGCACACAAUACUUACGGGAAGCUCUUUGUCUUAUGGGGGUAUUGUUGGCUUUUAAUUUUUAACCUCAGCAGUGGCAGCAAUAGACUUCAAAUGGAGUGGGGAAAGCAGCCUGCUCAUCAAGAAGGGCUGCAAGGGCUCUCCUGAGCCUCAGGGGGCACUAGCAAAAACCUGCUCCAGGCACCAAUCAUCUCAAUGACUUGCAAAAUCCAAUGGAACUAGCAAGCAACUGACCUACCAUAACUGAAGCAUUCCCCACAAUGAGCUCACUGGGGAGACUUCCACCAGGAAGUGACUCUUUGUACUGUGAUGCCAUCUAAGUAUGGACUCCUUUGCAGGAAGGAACUGUCAAAGCAGCAAAAUCAAGCUGUUUCUCUCUGCCCAGGGAAGUUUAUAGAUAGAAACAAGGAGGGAAGGGAACCGAUUGAUCGAUUGCCUUAUUCGGUCUCACAAAAGCGAGUUAAAAAUCUGGCACUAAAUCUCGGUCCUUGCUUCAGCCUCCGACUCUGGCCCAGUUGCCUCCAAUCUCCUCCUUCUCAAGAAGCAUUUCUUCUCAGCUGACAAUUGCUGGGCCAGCUUCUCUGAACAAAUCUUCCGUUUUCUAGAAGACUGCAACCACUGAGAAACUUGAGGAAUGACCGAGGACAGGGGCAACUUUUUAAAGGUCAAGAAAACCUUCACCUUACACACACAUCGCCAGUAAAUUAUACUCAAUGUAAUCAUUAGAUGUUUCACUCUUCUUGCUUCAGAAUAAACAAAGCAGGAGCUUCUGCCUGUCCUGUAUG